Long non-coding RNA from Astatotilapia calliptera (eastern happy), 2005 nucleotides. The record is from Ensembl. Lineage: Eukaryota; Metazoa; Chordata; Actinopteri; Cichliformes; Cichlidae.
CCGGUCUAUUUUUAAUACCAAAAGAGGAACAGAUGCUGGUAGGACACCGACGGCAGCAACGACAGGCUGCGCGUGCCCAGUGCGCUUAUGACCGUGAACGAAUACACAAAAUCACAUCCUAUGUAGCUAAUUGAUGGUGUUGGCAACUCAGACAGUAAUUAUGUGCCUCUUUAGCCAUUACAGUUUAUUAUUAUUAUUAUUAUUUCUAUGAGAUGACAGGUGCUCGUGUUCAUAGUGUCUCAUUAGAAAUGGAUGUUUGUCCCUCUCAGAGUUAUUUCUAUAACUGUUUUACAGUCUGAAUCUAAAUGAUUCCCUAACUCUGUUCCAUAACUCUUGCAAAAUUAACGUCUCCUAUAAAGUGACAGGUCAGUAGUCAAGUGCUUGCCAUAACACGAGUAUGAAUAAUUGAUUUUUUAUAAAUAAGUUGAGGUGUAUAUGAAGAUCAGCUGAAAGCAAUUUAGUUUUUAUCAGUGGUGUUUUUCCUGACCUUUAUUCAUUGCGCCUAAAUACUGCCAGGUUUUAACGUGAGGAGAUUAUGGUGAUGCUCUUGAGCUCACUGAGGUCAUUUAUAAAUUAUGUCAUCACAUCCCUAGCCUGGGUGCUCUGGAGCUGUAUGUACCACAUCCCCUUGAAAGUUCAACAUGGCCUCCUGUAAUCCUCUUCUAUUCUUAAUCUGCGCUGUCCCGCUGCAUGGGCGACCUCCCGUGGUCAGUAGAGUGUGAAUUGGGGAUUGCAAAUUGAUUCUUCAAUGUAAAAGCCUGCCCUUGGAUAUAUGGCUACCCCUUCAUGGGUGUUUUGUUGGAAAAUGCCAAUCUUUGCUCAAUUGCAGAACAAACUUCCCUCCACUUUACAGCCCUCCCUCCAGUUUGUCCAUGGAAGACCACAUUUAAAAAGUAACCCCACCUGAAACUUCACAAAGCCCAAUCAGCUAUAGAAAUGUCAGAGCAGACGGCACACCCUCUUUUGUUCAAAACCAAUCAGAGUGGAAGUGUGGCAUUUUGCCUGAGGGGAAAACUUACCCCUGGAUGCGUUAAUUACGCAUCACUUAGCUGUUGCCAAUGUGUUCACAACGGAGGAUCCUCUUUUGGGUUUUUUACAACGACUGUCUUCAUUCUUUGGUCAAUCUAGUAUGGAAAGUAGACAACAAUGGCUUACCAGGCUGAAAAAUGAACUUAGUAACAGUCCUCUGGUAUCAAAUGUGGCUUUUGGCUUUAUCCUCAUGGGACUAGAGAAGCUGGUGGAGCUGGAGUUUGAGUGUCCUUGCAGUCCUAAAUGGAACGGAUUGUUUUCAUCAGCAUUCUUCAUCAUUCCUGCCGUCAUGGCCUUCACUUUGAUGCUGAUCAUUCAAGGAUGCAGAUGUGAUAUGUGGUGCAGGAAAACUGUGUCCCUCUCCAGUUUUGUUCCCGCUAUCGUGUGGCUGAUUUUAUUGUUCCUCGAUGGCCAAUACUUUGCUUGUGCUAUGACAGACUGGGAGGGUAGAUUUGUACUAGUUGACAAGGCAGCUCCACAGAAAUGGUGUGAGCCAAUUAGAGAGGGAGAUGUCACCACACAAGAACUAAUGCUCCGCUCACAACAGCUGUUUGUGUUUUCUCAGGUUAUAGGCAUAGUCCUCCUCAUUUUCAUCUGUAUGGGUCUCAUAGUGUAUGUAAUCAGAGAAAGCUGCCAACAAGAUGUGGAGAUGCAGGAUGCAAAUGUAGCUGAGCUCACUGUGCUCAGGAUGAGCUCUCUAAGGACCCGGACAUCUUGAGGGGACACACACCGCCCACCACACCUGCCCUGCUGGCACGGAUACUUGUAAAUACUUGGAACAGACAUUUACUAUAAGUUUUUGUAACUGCUGUACCAUUUGAGUAUUUUCCUCAUGGAAGCGGGAUAUACAGUGCCUUUGAAUAGCCACUGAUGCUGCCAAAUGAAGCCUCAUAAAUAUGCAUAUAAUAUCAAUAUUAGUGAAAACUCUUAUUGUCCUGUAAUGUAUUGUGUGCGUGUGUGUGUGUGUGUGUGUGUG